RNAcentral lists this small RNA (836 nucleotides) under Pongo abelii (Sumatran orangutan). RNAcentral's name for it is "retained intron". The record is from RNAcentral. Lineage: Eukaryota; Metazoa; Chordata; Mammalia; Primates; Hominidae.
GAGGAGAAAAGCUCCAAAUAAAAAAGACUGUGUCAUUCCAUCUCUAUAUCAGGUCUGUACAGUUCCUGUUGCUGCCAGGGUGGGCCCUGCCAGGCUGUUAGAAUUGGGUAUCCGAAUGCUCUCCUGGCCUGUAAAUCGAACCUCAUACAAUAAGCCACACUCCACUGUGGGUUUGAGGUCCAUAUUCAGGUGUAGAUGACUCACGUGUACCAGUCUCCCACGGUAGGCCUUAGAAAACAUCCCUUGCUUCUGUCACAUCUGACUGUUUUGGAGCCCCACGAAAUUGCAGAUUUCCCACAGGUGAGUUUUAACAGCCACCCCUGUUUUUCAGCACCGCUCCGUGUGGAGAUGGCGCCCUCUUUGACAAGUCCUGCAGCGACCGUGCUAUGGAAAGCACAGAGUCCCGCCACUACCCUGUCUUCGAGAAUCCCAAACAAGGAAAGCUCCGCACCAAGGUGGAGAACGGAGAAGGCACGAUCCCUGUGGAAUCCAGUGACAUUGUGCCUACGUGGGAUGGCAUUCGGCUCGGGGAGAGACUCCGUACCAUGUCUUGUAGUGACAAAAUCCUACGCUGGAAUGUGCUGGGCCUGCAAGGGGCACUGUUGACCCACUUCCUGCAGCCCAUUUAUCUCAAAUCUGUCACAUUGGGUAAGGGGCCUGCCUUGGGAUCUGGAACUGGUCUGUCCUUCUUGUGCCCAAAUCCCAAACUGCAUGCUUUAUUGCCAGGUGUCUUGUCUCCCCUAUCAAAAUGAGCAUGGUUCACUCCUCAGUAAUUGAUUGAGUGUCCAGUCUGCUGUGGUAGGAAGAUCCUAGUAGCCCCAGUCAGAAGGUGCUUC